RNAcentral lists this microRNA precursor (89 nucleotides) under Sorex araneus (European shrew). Its description in RNAcentral is "miRNA (ENSSARG00000018171.1)". The record is from RNAcentral. Lineage: Eukaryota; Metazoa; Chordata; Mammalia; Eulipotyphla; Soricidae.
CUGCGGCGCGGGCCGGGCUGGGCUGGGCGGCCGCCAGCAUGCAGCCGUGCUUACAUAAGCGCUGCUUUUUCCUGGAAUCCGGCACUGCU